Molecule: ribosomal RNA, 484 nt
Filed under: uncultured bacterium
Lineage: Bacteria
Description: partial 16S ribosomal RNA
Rfam family: Bacterial small subunit ribosomal RNA
Source: RNAcentral
AUUGAACGCUGGCGGCAGGCCUAACACAUGCAAGUCGAGCGGAUGAAGGGAGCUUGCUCCUGGAUUCAGCGGCGGACGGGUGAGUAAUGCCUAGGAAUCUGCCUGGUAGUGGGGGAUAACGUCCGGAAACGGGCGCUAAUACCGCAUACGUCCUGCGGGAGAAAGAGGGGGAUCUUUGGACCUUACGCUAUCAGAUGAGCCUAGGUCGGAUUAGCUAGUUGGUGGGGUAAAGGCCUACCAAGGCGACGAUCCGUAACUGGUCUGAGUGGAUGAUCAGUCACACUGGAACUGGGACACGGUCCAGACUCCUACGGGAGGCAGCAGUGGGGAAUAUUGGACAAUGGGCGGAAACCUGAUCCAGCCAUGCCGCGUGUGUGAAGAAGGUCUUCGGAUUGUAAAGCACUUUAAGUUGGGAGGAAGGGCAGUAAGUUAAUACCUUGCUGUUUUGACGUUACCAACAGAAUAAGCACCGGCUAACUUCGUG